This is a long non-coding RNA of Mya arenaria, 468 nucleotides long. RefSeq lists it as uncharacterized. The record is from RefSeq and is a predicted model, not a curated record. Lineage: Eukaryota; Metazoa; Mollusca; Bivalvia; Myida; Myidae. The transcript is spliced from 3 exons.
AAAGAAAACAAUGGAUGGUGAACAUAAGAAGAGUUAAGAAUUCCAGAUUUCAUAAACAACAGCCAGCUAGCUGUCAUUAUAAGACAGGGGAUUUUAUGGAAUGAACACCUUCAAAGAAACAAAGGCUUAGGAAGAAACAGUUCCUAAAGUUUCUGACUGGAUUGAGGAAACUACACCAAUAAUAUUGCUGACGAGUAAGCCCACUGCCACAUCAUAACCCAAAAAUUAACGAUUAAAAUAAGAUGAUGAUGAUAAUGCAACAUUGACAUCAGAUGUUCAGCCUGGUGGAAGCAGGGAGGACAUUCGCACAGCAACCUCUUCACAUAUUGAUUUAAACAUAUUUUAUUCAAAAUGUUUGUAAAUAUAAUCAUCAAAGUUCACAUUGAAUACCGGUACAAUAUAGAUGUUACAUAAUGAUCAACAGAGAGAGAUAUAUGACAUGCUGAGCUCUACUGACAAACUAACUUA